Molecule: ribosomal RNA, 253 nt
Filed under: uncultured bacterium
Lineage: Bacteria
Description: partial 16S ribosomal RNA
Rfam family: Bacterial small subunit ribosomal RNA
Source: RNAcentral
UACGAAGGGUGCAAGCGUUAAUCGGAAUUACUGGGCGUAAAGCGUGCGCAGGCGGUGAUGUAAGACAGAUGUGAAAUCCCCGGGCUCAACCUGGGAACUGCAUUUGUGACUGCAUCGCUAGAGUACGGCAGAGGGGGAUGGAAUUCCGCGUGUAGCAGUGAAAUGCGUAGAUAUGCGGAGGAACACCGAUGGCGAAGGCAAUCCCCUGGGCCUGUACUGACGCUCAUGCACGAAAGCGUGGGGAGCAAACAGG